CCUACGGGAGGCUGCAGUAGGGAAUAUUGCUCAAUGGGGGAAACCCUGAAGCAGCAACGCCGCGUGGGGGAUGAAGGUUUUCGGAUUGUAAACUCCUUUUGUGAGAGAAGAUAAUGACGGUAUCUAACGAAUAAGCACCAGCUAACUCCGUGCCAGCAGCCGCGGUAAUACGGAGGGUGCAAGCGUUACUAGGAAUCACUGGGGGGAAAGAGCGCGUAGGCGGGAUAGAAAGUCAGAUGUGAAAUCCUAUGGCUUAACCAUAGAACUGCAUUUGAAACUGUUAUUCUAGAGUAUGGGAGAGGUAGGUGGAAUUCUUGGUGUAGGGGUAAAAUCCGUAGAGAUCAAGAGGAAUACUCAUUGCUAAGGCGACCUGCUAGAACAUAACUGACGCUGAUGCGCGAAAGCGUGGGGAGCAAACAGGAUUAGAUACCCGGGUAGUC
Molecule: ribosomal RNA, 440 nt
Filed under: uncultured bacterium
Lineage: Bacteria
Description: partial 16S ribosomal RNA
Rfam family: Bacterial small subunit ribosomal RNA
Source: RNAcentral